UACGUAGGGGGCGAGCGUUGUCCGGAAUUACUGGGCGUAAAGGGCACGCAGGCGGUGCAUCAAGUCAGCUGUAAAAGGAUGCGGCUUAACCGUAUUAUGCAGUUGAGACUGAAGUACUGGAGUGCUGGAGAGGCAAGUGGAAUUCCCAGUGUAGCGGUGAAAUGCGUAGAUAUUGGGAAGAACAUCGGUGGCGAAGGCGACUUGCUGGCCAGUAACUGACGCUGAGGUGCGAAAGCCAGGGUAGC
This 245-nucleotide ribosomal RNA is filed under the name uncultured Fretibacterium sp. RNAcentral describes it as "partial 16S ribosomal RNA". It matches the Rfam family "Bacterial small subunit ribosomal RNA", at positions 524 to 769 of the family's 1533-position model. Lineage: Bacteria; Thermotogati; Synergistota; Synergistia; Synergistales; Aminobacteriaceae. The record is from RNAcentral.